Molecule: ribosomal RNA, 230 nt
Filed under: uncultured Eubacterium sp.
Lineage: Bacteria; Bacillati; Bacillota; Clostridia; Eubacteriales; Eubacteriaceae
Description: partial 16S ribosomal RNA
Rfam family: Bacterial small subunit ribosomal RNA
Source: RNAcentral
GGNGGAAUUCNUGGUGUAGCGGUGAAAUGCNUAGAUAUNACGAAGAACUCCAAUUGCGAAGGCAGCUUACUAAACUAUAACUGACGCUGAAGCACGAAAGCGUGGGUAUCAAACAGGAUUAGAUACCCUGGUAGUCCACGCCGUAAACGAUGAUUACUAGCUGUUUGUGAUAUUACAAUAAGCGGCUAAGCGAAAGCGAUAAGUAAUCCACCUGGGGAGUACGCCGGCAA